CUACGGGCCGCUGCAGUGGGGAAUAUUGCACAAUGGGCGCAAGCCUGAUGCAGCCAUGCCGCGUGUAUGAAGAAGGCCUUCGGGUUGUAAAGUACUUUCAGCGGGGAGGAAGGGAGUAAAGUUAAUACCUUUGCUCAUUGACGUUACCCGCAGAAGAAGCACCGGCUAACUCCGUGCCAGCAGCCGCGGUAAUACGGAGGGUGCAAGCGCUAAUCGGAAUUACUGGGCGUAAAGCGCACGCAGGCGGUUUGUUAAGUCAGAUGUGAAAUCCCCGGGCUCAACCUGGGAACUGCAUCUGAUACUGGCAAGCUUGAGUCUCGUAGAGGGGGGUAGAAUUCCAGGUGUAGCGGUGAUAUGCGUAGAGAUCUGGAGGAAUACCGGUGGCGAAGGCGGCCCCCUGGACGAAGACUGACGCUCAGGUGCGAAAGCGUGGGGAGCAAACAGGAUUAGAUACCCCAGUAGUC
RNAcentral lists this ribosomal RNA (464 nucleotides) under uncultured bacterium. Its description in RNAcentral is "partial 16S ribosomal RNA". It matches the Rfam family "Bacterial small subunit ribosomal RNA", at positions 339 to 795 of the family's 1533-position model. The record is from RNAcentral.